RNAcentral lists this non-coding RNA (86 nucleotides) under uncultured eukaryote. The record is from RNAcentral.
CCCGCGUUCUUGCAGGCUUUCGGCGGGCCGCAGACGUUGCCGCCCCCCUCCAGCACCAGCACCGCCGCAACCCCGCUCCACACCAA